CCUGCCUGCCAGUAGAACACAACACAACCGCUCUGUGAAUAACACCAUCUGACCAACAGCAAACACAGUCAAAUCCAUGGGCACCAUCACAUUCAGCAGAUGCCCAGAUGUGGACCGCAGCAAUGCAAUGCAGCUAUCUCCCCAUUCUCUUGUUGGUGCUAGUUCUGCCCAUCAGCAAGGGAGACUAUGUUAGGGCUGCAUUAGGGCCACCGUACUUGACUCCAAAGGCAAUCCAACUCAAACUGUAACCAAGGACGAUGGCUUGUAUGGCUACAAUUCACCACAAUGGGAGCGGAAAGGAAUCGCGAUGGCACCUGCACCGAAUCAUGGAGUGGUGGAACGCCAGGGCUGUGACCCCUACACACACUUACUGGUUCCCCCCGGACAGGACACUGGGUGGCCCUGCUGCAGCGUGGCAACUGUACCUUCAAGAAAAAGAUAUUCAACGCCCCCAGGAGGCCACCGUCCUAAUGGCCCAUGAAGGUACGGCUGAUACGGUGGCUGUGAUGACCACCGAGUAUACGGCAAGGAGAUGGUGGGCCGGCUAGAGAGGAACCUGGAGGUGCUGAAUGGUCCAACACACAAAGGACAUCCAGCCAACUGGACACAACUGUGGGAAGCAUCGGAGUCAACUUGGGCCAGCGUCACUGUGAAACGUUUUCAACACCUUGUAGAGUUCAUGCCCCAACGAAUUGAGGCUGUUCUGAGGGCAACUCAACAUUAGGUAGGUGCUCCUAAAGUUUUGUCCACUCGGUGUAUACGUUCUUGCGCUUACACUUGCACUUAUCUUUUGUUACUAUCACUGACUUUGUUGAUAUUGUGGAACAGUUUGACUUACUGUGACUGUGAUAUGUGGUGGGUUUACCUACCUUAAGAUGAACGCAUGAACUAAGUUGCUCUGGAUAAGUGUCUGUUAAAUGGCUAAAAAACAAAACAAAUGUAUCACUUCAUAAUAUCCCCAUAGAACAGAGACAUCUAGUGGUUAAAUUAUACAUUGGCGCUUCACUCGUAAGUGUACACAUUUAUUGAAUUAACUUACAUUUUACUUAGAAAUUAGAAACAAUUCAAUCAUGCAGUCAAAUUAAAAUGAGCAAAUUAUACAAAUAAAUCUUCUGAGAAAAGUUUAAAGCACUCAAUGACCAAAGUGAUAUAAAAGUAUGAAGUUAUGCAUUAUAUUAAUAUGAAAAGCCUUGCAAAUAAAUACAUUUAUUCAAUUGGAAAUUUUACAAAACUGAUCUGCUUGGUGUAUUUUCAAUGUGGUUCUGUCUCCAUGGAAUUAAGAAACUAGUAACUUUUACCACAUGAAAAGUUGAUAUCUUAACCAAAUCUUAACCUUAAUUCAAGAAACAUCUUAGCCUUAAUAAAAAAAAUAAUCUUUAGAUAAUUUACAGGAAAUAUUAAGAUCCAUAAAUAUAGUGUUGGAUUUUUGCAAACAACCCAUAUUUGUAUGAAGUUCCUUAUACAAUGUUUCAGCCAGAAUGACACUCCCCAGUGACACAGCCUGUAUUGACCUUUGAACUUUGUGUACAUUUUGGGUGCUAAUGUUCUAACCUAGUUUUCAGACUGCAUUCCACUGGACGUCUCCACUACAAGAACAGCAAGAGGAACUGCCCCUCACUAACUUCAGGCUAGGCUCAAACCCUACACCCCAACCUGAGUACUCUGUUCUGCCACCUCUGGUCUCUUGGCUCUCCCACCCCUACAGGAGGGCAGCUCCCCCUCAGCCCAGUCAAAGCUCUUCUCUGUCCUGGCACCCCAAUGGUGGAACCAUCUUCAGAAAACAUCUGAAACCCUACCUCUUCAAAGACUAUUUUAAAUAAUCCCCCUCCUCACCUCAAUCCCACCCCCCCUCAA
Long non-coding RNA from Oncorhynchus tshawytscha (Chinook salmon), 1854 nucleotides. RefSeq lists it as uncharacterized. The transcript is spliced from 2 exons. The record is from RefSeq and is a predicted model, not a curated record. NCBI's taxonomy places the organism in Eukaryota, Metazoa, Chordata, Actinopteri, Salmoniformes, Salmonidae.